Long non-coding RNA from Neocloeon triangulifer, 360 nucleotides. RefSeq lists it as uncharacterized. Lineage: Eukaryota; Metazoa; Arthropoda; Insecta; Ephemeroptera; Baetidae. The record is from RefSeq and is a predicted model, not a curated record. The transcript is spliced from 3 exons.
CUUUCUGGUACGAUGAGGUGUCUUGCAUUUAUUUUGGUAGUCUUCCCGAUUCAGAUAUCGGCUUCCGAUUUGUCUUGGUUGAAUGAUUAUAAAAAUGAAUCUCAAAGACAAUAUGUGGCUGAAAAAGUGUGGCCGUUGAACAACAAGGAAACAAAAUUACAUGAUGAUUCUUUCAUAGCCAAAAAAAGAUUCAAGCGACAAGUUCCAGCUACUACUGAUUCAAAUACAACAGAUCUAACGACCACUGCAGAAUCAACUACUACGGGACCAACAACAACUGCAGAACCGACAACAACUGAGCCAACCACCGCCGAAGGAUCAACUACUGCGGGACAAACAACAACUGCAGAAUCGACAACA